UACAGAGGUCUCAAGCGUUGUUCGGAUUCAUUGGGCGUAAAGGGUGCGUAGGCGGCGCGGUAAGUCGGAUGUGAAAUCUCGGAGCUUAGCUUCGAAACUGCAUUCGAUACUGCCGUGCUUGAGGACUGGAGAGGAGACUGGAAUUUACGGUGUAGCGGUGAAAUGCGUAGAUAUCGUAAGGAAGACCAGUGGCGAAGGCGGGUCUCUGGACAGUUCCUGACGCUGAGGCACGAAGGUCAGGGGAGCAAACGGG
Molecule: ribosomal RNA, 253 nt
Filed under: uncultured bacterium
Lineage: Bacteria
Description: partial 16S ribosomal RNA
Rfam family: Bacterial small subunit ribosomal RNA
Source: RNAcentral